UCUUCUUUCUUCUUUCUCUUCUGUUGUCCUUCUCGCCAGACCCACAGAGACAGCAAUAGAGAGUGAGAGAAAUCGAGUGAGAGAGAGAUGCGAGAGAGUGGGAGAUAAGGGAUUGAGAGGGAGACCGAGAGAUGCUGAGAGAGAGAUGAGAUCGGGAGAGUUGAGGAGUGAUCGAAGCCCGAUCCUCCGGUGGGUGGCGCCGUCAAGACCAGAGGACGCCGGCGACGCGAUCUCCGGUGAGCCCGUGAACCAGAGAUGACCCGGGAGAGAGAGAACCCGAAACCCGUAGUACCCGUGACCCACGACCCGUGAGGACCCGAAUCUCCAUGAUCGGCGACUGGGACUGAAAUUCGGCUGUCCCUUUAGCAGUUUCCGGCGAAGACCCGUGAGCUUAGAAGACCCGUAGCCUAGACCCGUAACCCGUGAGCUCAGACCCGCGACCCAGUGACCCGAGCAACCUAGAACCCGACGGCUUGAAGCUGGUUUUUCCGAUGAAUUUUCUGCGACUUCCAGUGGCAUUUUCCGGCGGAUUUGUUGAGGAAAAUCCCCAAGGAUCAUGUUCGGAUUGGAGACUUUAAUUGGUUCUCCAAUGUAAAGUCCAAGUGACUAGAGUCCAAGGAGUGUUCGAGUUGGAGUCUAAUGCAGCCAAGAUGAUGUUUCUUUGGCUGCAGGUACUUCGGUAUAGUCGAUGGGUCGGUAGCAGUGUGCUUGAGAUAUUAUGACUGAAGCUCGCUACGACAGUUGCAAUUGUCGGACCACGGGUUGUCCACUAUUUUAUAGGUUUGGUAUGGCUUGUGACGUUUGUGUCACUUAUUCUUUGUUAAGCCAUUAUUGUUAUAGUGUUAAUAAGACUCAAACAGAUAGAUGUUAAAUGGCUCUUUGUUGUAAUUAACUUGUGAUAGAUGUAUAAGUUGUAAUUUCCGCUAUUCAGAUUUAUGUUUUCCGCUGCA
Long non-coding RNA from Alnus glutinosa, 950 nucleotides. RefSeq lists it as uncharacterized. The record is from RefSeq and is a predicted model, not a curated record. The transcript has 3 exons. NCBI's taxonomy places the organism in Eukaryota, Viridiplantae, Streptophyta, Magnoliopsida, Fagales, Betulaceae.